Molecule: ribosomal RNA, 465 nt
Filed under: Vreelandella stevensii
Lineage: Bacteria; Pseudomonadati; Pseudomonadota; Gammaproteobacteria; Oceanospirillales; Halomonadaceae
Description: partial 16S ribosomal RNA
Rfam family: Bacterial small subunit ribosomal RNA
Source: RNAcentral
CCUACGGGUGGCAGCAGUGGGGAAUAUUGGACAAUGGGCGAAAGCCUGAUCCAGCCAUGCCGCGUGUGUGAAGAAGGCCUUCGGGUUGUAAAGCACUUUCAGUGGGGAAGAAAGCCUUGGGGCUAAUACCCUCGAGGAAGGACAUCACCCACAGAAGAAGCACCGGCUAACUCCGUGCCAGCAGCCGCGGUAAUACGGAGGGUGCGAGCGUUAAUCGGAAUUACUGGGCGUAAAGCGCGCGUAGGCGGUCUGAUAAGCCGGUUGUGAAAGCCCCGGGCUCAACCUGGGAACGGCAUCCGGAACUGUCAGGCUAGAGUGCAGGAGAGGAAGGUAGAAUUCCCGGUGUAGCAGUGAAAUGCGUAGAGAUAGGGAGGAAUACCAGUGGCGAAGGCGGCCUUCUGGCCUGACACUGACGCUGAGGUGCGAAAGCGUGGGUAGCAAACAGGAUUAGAUACCCUAGUAGUC